GUAUCAUAUUUUGCAUUCAUCAGGAGCCUAAGGCUGCCAGUGACCAAGACCUAGAAUAUGGGAAUGAAGGAAGCCAACCUUCAGGAGCCAGAAUACAGAGAUGAGACCUGGUGGUCAUUUGUUUCUAAAUAAAACUGUACCUGAAGAUAUCAUUCCCCAAAGACCCUGCAAUUAUAUGAGACAACGGUUACAUUUUUUGUUUAUGGCAAUUUAAGUUGAAUUUUCCAGUGUUUGUCUGAUGAUGACAACCGCCUUUAAGUUUUGUUUAUCUAAUAUUGGAGUGAACGAAGACAGGACUCUAAUCUGAUUGUGGGUCAUAAGACCCUCAUUCUAGAGAAGAUCCUGCCCCAUACCCUGGAGGAAGGAAUGCUGCACAGAAAGGAGUGAAGAAUCUGAACAGUUUGGCCUUUGCUGAGUUUAAAUCAUACCCUUUUUGUCCAGUCACACUGUGACAUGGUUGUCCGUGAUGCAAUCAUGCCUAUCCAAUGAAGUCUCCAUAUAAGGCCUGAGAGGACGGGAUUCAGGGGCUUCCAGAGAGCUAAACAUGGGGAGACCUAUAGGAAGAUGAACAAGAACUCAUCCAUAUGUAAGA
Gorilla gorilla gorilla (western lowland gorilla) is the source of this 592-nucleotide long non-coding RNA. RefSeq lists it as uncharacterized. The transcript has 3 exons. The record is from RefSeq and is a predicted model, not a curated record. NCBI's taxonomy places the organism in Eukaryota, Metazoa, Chordata, Mammalia, Primates, Hominidae.